UACGAAGGGUGCAAGUGUUACUCGGAAUUACUGGGCGUAAAGCGUGCGUAGGCGGUUUGUUAAGUCCGUUGUGAAAGCCCUGGGCUCAACCUGGGAAUUGCAGUGGAUACUGGCGAGCUAGAGUGCGGUAGAGGAUGGUGGAAUUCCCGGUGUAGCGGUGAAAUGCGUAGAGAUCGGGAGGAACACCCGUGGCGAAGGCGACCAUCUGGACCAGCACUGACGCUGAGGCACGAAAGCGUGGGGAGCAAACAGG
RNAcentral lists this ribosomal RNA (253 nucleotides) under uncultured bacterium. RNAcentral's name for it is "partial 16S ribosomal RNA". It matches the Rfam family "Bacterial small subunit ribosomal RNA", at positions 524 to 776 of the family's 1533-position model. The record is from RNAcentral.